This 432-nucleotide ribosomal RNA is filed under the name uncultured bacterium. RNAcentral describes it as "partial 16S ribosomal RNA". It matches the Rfam family "Bacterial small subunit ribosomal RNA", at positions 29 to 506 of the family's 1533-position model. The record is from RNAcentral.
AACGAACGCUGGCGGCAUGCCUAACACAUGCAAGUCGAACGAAGGCUUCGGCCUUAGUGGCGCACGGGUGCGUAACGCGUGGGAAUCUGCCCUUUGGUUCGGAAUAACAGCUGGAAACGGCUGCUAAUACCGGAUGAUGACGAAAGUCCAAAGAUUUAUCGCCAGAGGAUGAGCCCGCGUUGGAUUAGGUAGUUGGUGGGGUAAAGGCCUACCAAGCCGACGAUCCAUAGCUGGUCUGAGAGGAUGAUCAGCCACACUGGGACUGAGACACGGCCCAGACUCCUACGGGAGGCAGCAGUGGGGAAUAUUGGACAAUGGGCGCAAGCCUGAUCCAGCAAUGCCGCGUGAGUGAUGAAGGCCCUAGGGUUGUAAAGCUCUUUUACCCGGGAAGAUAAUGACUGUACCGGGAGAAUAAGCCCCGGCUAACUCCGU